CAAGAUAGAGAGACGUAUAAGUUCUUCGCGUUAGCGACACAGCGCUUGGCAUGCAAACUAUGAAGGACCUCUCACCUCUCCGCCGACACCAAGGCGCCGUCCAAAAGUCCGAAACCUCACUCUGUCGAGGCGCCGACCCCACUCCUCCGAGGCUCCUAACUGCAAAGGACCUCACCGCCGAGGCACCGACCAUUAACCACACUCAAUCUCCAUUCUCCAGGUGGGUUGCUCAACUUGCUCUAAAUUUUUAUUAUAUGGUGUGGGUAGAACGAGUUUUUAUGAAAUUUGAUUGUUUGGGUUGAUAAUCGUGUGUGUUUACAGAUGAACUUUAUAUGUAGUUUUGAUAGAUAAAAUUUGAGUUUUCUUGUUUUUUCCGUAUAUAUAAUUGUGUCACUUACUCAGUUUGUAAUUAGAAUUUUUUUUUUAGAUUCCUGUUUAAAUAUUUUAUUUAAUAUAUAUUCAUACAUUGAAAAAUUCACAUUUUAAUUGUUCACUUCAUGCACCAAAAAACUCAAGACCCGUCCUGGAGAUCAUAUUAUACAUUUCUUUAAUAGACUUUUGAAUUCCGCUUCUAUUGAUUUUUUAAUGUAAAAAUAUGAUUUUUUGUUAAAAUGAAUAGUAUCAGAAGUUUUUUUUGUUAAAGUUUAAAUUUUUUUUAAUGCCUUACCAUGUAGACUACAAAGUGGGGUUAAAGUUUGUUUAUUUUACCCAAUAUGCCAUUGACCCGAUAUGCGUGAAAUAUGCUUUCAAGCCCCACAUUCAGCAUAUCUUUGAUACCGCAUGGUUUAAUUAGAAAAAUUCAAUUUAAAUAUUUAAAGGUGCUGCAUAAUAAAAAAUUCAUGGGUAACAACUCAUUUACUUUACCGUUUUGGACCCCCGUACAACUCGAGGGUAUAUGAUAGAUAUUUGAGAAAUAUUAUAUUUUUUUCUUUGAGCACAUUGGUAUUUUUAUAUUAAGGGAAGAGAGAGUUUGGCAAAACCACACAAUAAAAGUCUAAUUUGGUAUCGAAUUCGCCAUCAACGAGAUUCAAACCUAAGACUUUUCAUUUUCAAGUGAAGAAAAAUUCUUCUUACCAUGGUACUAAAUGACAAAUACUAUUAAAACUCAUCUUUAGAAGGAGGACUUAUUGUCACGAAAUAGAAAGUUUGCUCACUUGGAAUAAAAAUUAGAGGACCUAAACUGGUAACCAAAAUGUCUCGGAUUAAACUCAAUAGUUCACUCCGUUUUGGACUUGUACCUGAUUAUCUCUUCUUUAAUAGAUGCGGCUACUUGUAAUUUAAGGGUAAUUGGACUGAAUUUGUUGAACUGUCAACAAAUUAUGGAGGAGUCAUGGUUUAGUCAUGAUUGAACUAAAUACUUAAAUGUCAAAGAUAACUCGUUAUAAUCUAUUUCAUGGGGUAUAUGCAAUCCUUUCUCCAUAUUAGACUACCUCCAAUUGAGAUUUAAAUCCAAAGUAUAAUGUCACGGUUACAAAAUUUGGAUGUAAAAACAAGCUCUAACUAAGAUGUCUAUCCUACGUGGAUUAGUGAAAGGAUUGUUUGCUACGAAUUCUUGUUGAUGAGAAUAUACGAUGUCUUUUUUUUUUUUUUAAAUCUUUGUUGCUUGGGUCUCAGAUUUGCACCAAUCAUAAAUAAUGAUGGUUGGUUUUAACUGAUUUCUAUUUAAAAGUGGUCCGGUAAAUAUUAUUUGAAUAAGAUAGACAUGUACCGGAGCAAGAAAAAAUUUGACAUUGUCACAUGACUAAUUGGAAAACAAUGAGUAGAUUUCAAGUACUUCGUUGAGCAGAUUGAUAAUCGCAAAAUUACAAAUAUCAAUAGAAUUGUUAAAUCUCGUGUUACGUGCAGAUCAUGUAAGAACAAAAAUCUCAAAUCAUAUAGAUAGUUUAGAUCGUUGAAAAGAGUUACUGAAUGUGCACCAUAAGGAGUAUAUGUAAAUGAUUAGGAUUUGAGGACACACGCUUUUAACACUCAUUUUUGUGGCCCCACUCGUAAUGUACUUUCUAUGAUUUAGCUGUCUAUCUUUUAUGUCUUGCCUCAAAUAUUACAUCUGCCAAAAACCACUCAAUUCUGAAACCAUAUAAACUUUGGAUUCAUUUUAGUGUUUCUUUGUAAAAUCGUAUCCAUCUAUUUUAUUCACCACAAAUAGAUGUCUUAAGAGUUUUGAAUUUGUCUAAUUUUUUGCAAGGAUGAUCUAUAAACAAUGUACUAAAAUAUAAACGGUUUAGAUCAUUAAAAUAAAACUAUAUAUUUAUAUCUUUAGGAGGUGAGCUUCACUAGUAAAAAGAUAAAAUUCUAAAUUUACACCUCUCACAUAAAGUAGAACUCAAUAUUUACAUUUCUUAAAUGUGUAAAGUGAAAUAUAAAAUGUAAAUUGUACGUUUUAAAUUUGCCCGUCUUUUUUUUAGUACAAAUGUAUAAAGUGAGAAUGAUAAAAAGGUGAAACAUUCAAAAUACCAAAAUUGUCCUUCAAAAUUACAAUUGAACCAUAAGAAUUUAAAGUAAUUCACCACAUUUUAAUUUUGAAUGAAUUUUAAAUUUCAAACUUUAAUUAAAAAAAAAAACUCCCACAUUAGUAGAUGGUUUCAUGGUUUUGCUUCAUUUUUUUUUGAAUAAUUUUUUAAUAAAAAAAAAUUAAAAGACAUAAUCUAAUAUAAAAAAGGCAAUUGGGUAUGCAUGUGACAAGAUGCUAGUGUUAUACUAAAAGGAGAGAGGAAUUCAGUUAAACCAAAUAAUGAAUAACUUAAUUUGAUAUCGAAUUCGUCAUUUACAAAAUUUAAACCUAUAACCCCUUAUUUACAAGUGAAUAUUUUGGACGGAGAUGUUGGAGAACUUUCAUUGUUGUGUUGCUCAUCAUGAGCUUACGUGUAUUAUGUAUUACCCUAAUUAGUAUUUUAACACACCCUUACAUCAUAUAUGGCCAAUGUGUGCCGUACUUGUGAGACAGUUGGAUGACAUAAACCCUUCAAUAAGUGAAAUUACCCAAGUACCCAUGCCUUAACACUGCAUCACAGCCCAUUAUGUACCGUCAAUAAUUCUCAUAUGAAAUAUUGUAUGCGUCGUGCGGUGCACAAUGCAUGUCUUGGUCUGACUCGAAACAAAACAAGACAAGAAAAACUAGGUCCCACAUAAAUAAGGAUAAACCCUAAAUCUGAACACUACAUAGAAGGCUCAAUAAAUCACCUCCCUCCUCCAUUUAUGGUAAUAUUUAUCUCUUAAUAAAUAUGCUUACAGCGUUGCUAGAGAUAUGGGUGAGUUGGAAAACCCGAAAAUUGAAAAAAAAAAAUAAAAAUACACAAACAAACCAUUCGUAACAAACCAAAACUAGUCAUUUAGUAAUAUGAUCUAGUGAUAUUUUUUUUUAUUUGUUAGUGAGAGGUUUUAGGUUUGAUUCUAACCAAAGACGAAUUUGAACCACAUUAUUGCUAGCACAUUGUGAGGUUAAACCCACCCAUCCCCUUUUGUGUAGAUACUAUUGUUUGUUAAAAGAAGAAACAAAACUGAUAAAAUAAAAAACCUGAAGCUAAAGAAAUUGAACUGAACAAAAAACUAUUGGUUCAAUUUCGGUUUUAGUGGUUUCGAAAACUGAAUUGAACAUAACCGAUAUAACUUAAACCCAAGAGAGAGUCGUUUUACAGUUAGGUUAACCCUAGACUUGGUAAUUUCUGACAAGACCCAUUAAUCCGAUACGACACGAUAUGAAAUUAACAAGUUAUUGGGUCGACACGAUAAUGAAUCGAGUCAUUAUCAGAUAACGCGAUAAGCACAUGGUAAGAUAACGGGUUGGUCUGGGUAUACAUGUGGAUAACCCGAUACACGAUAAGAAAAAUAUUAAUUUAAUAAUUUUUUGCCCCUAAAAAUACAUAAUAAUUAUAUAAUAUAUAUAAUUAUAUAUCUGAUAUUAUAUAUUUAUUAAAUUAAAUUUAGAAAAUUUGGAAAAAAUGAGGUAAUAUAUUUUUAUAUGGUAGAGUACUAUUGUUUUAUUUAUGUUCAUAAUUAUUUUGGUAAACUUCUCAUAAUAAUGUUUGAUUUUUUUAUACUUAAUUUAUGCAGAAGAGAGUUCUGCUGUGGAAAACAUUACUGAAAACAUCAUCAACAUAACUCUUGAAGGCAAUAGAUCAAGCCGAAGUUCCAAUACAAUUUCCUCAUGAUGAUCGAUGAGAAUUGAAGGAUUUUGUAAAAGAAAUAACAUGCAAGCUUUGAGUUUCAUUGACAAGGUUUUAACUUCUGAGAAAGGCUUCACAACUUUGAAAAGAAAAACUCAUUCAUUUUGCAUAUCCUUGCACAUUUGAUAUUUUGUAGUAGAUUAGUAGUGUAUUGGUGCUUUUUUAUUAAGCUCUUAUUUUGGAUUUAGAUGAAGUACUUGAUGACAAAUGUGUUUUUAUAUUUUGAAAUAAUAUUUAUGUGGUAAUGUGGUAUGUGCAAAUUUAAGAAUUUUUUUUUUCUUAAUGGGUCGGGUCAUUUUACAUAUUGGUUAAAGUAACCUGACUUGUUAAGAACUCGUUAAGAUAAUGAGUGUGAUACCACACGACUCAUUAUGAUAACAAGUAUUACACGAACGCAACACAAAACACGACAAACACGAUCCGUUUGUCAGACCUAGUUAACCCUAAGCGUGGUUCUUCCUCUCCUCGUCCACAUCACUUGAGUCCUCACUCGAGUCGUGUUCGUUUGCCUUUGCCGCUCCUCGUCCUCAAACUUCAAUCCCCGUCGUUUUCCUCAUCGCCGCUCCUCCAUAUUUACAUUGAGAUUGCUGUGUUUGGACAACACAAAUGUUCUUAAUGGAAGAAAACAAAACCGUUACAGACACAUUUGUGCAUAUAUCAUAAAUGUUGUUCCACUCCAAUGCUAA
RNAcentral lists this long non-coding RNA (4849 nucleotides) under Malus domestica (apple). Its description in RNAcentral is "long non-coding RNA (MDOM_LNC008697)". The record is from RNAcentral. Lineage: Eukaryota; Viridiplantae; Streptophyta; Magnoliopsida; Rosales; Rosaceae.